This 429-nucleotide ribosomal RNA is filed under the name uncultured bacterium. RNAcentral's name for it is "bacterial SSU rRNA". It matches the Rfam family "Bacterial small subunit ribosomal RNA", at positions 355 to 775 of the family's 1533-position model. The record is from RNAcentral.
UGGGGAAUAUUGGGCGAUGGGCGCAAGCCUGACCCAGCGACGCCGCGUGGGCGAUGAAGGCCUUCGGGUUGUAAAGCCCUGUCAUGCGGAAAGAACGACCCUGUGACGCAUACUCACAGGGAGUGACGGUACCGCAGGAGGAAGCACCGGCUAACUCCGUGCCAGCAGCCGCGGUAAUACGGAGGGUGCAAGCGUUGUUCGGAAUUAUUGGGCGUAAAGGGCGCGUAGGCGGUAAUGUAAGUCAGAUGUGAAAUACUCCGGCUCAACCAGAGAAUUGCAUCUGAAACUGCAUAACUAGAGUACAGAAGAGGGAAACGGAAUUCCCGGUGUAGAGGUGAAAUUCGUAGAUAUCGGGAGGAACACCAGUGGCGAAGGCGGUUUCCUGGUCUGAUACUGACGCUGAGGCGCGAAAGCGUGAGGGGCAAACAG